Molecule: small RNA, 850 nt
Filed under: Pan troglodytes (chimpanzee)
Lineage: Eukaryota; Metazoa; Chordata; Mammalia; Primates; Hominidae
Description: processed transcript
Source: RNAcentral
GUGGCAGCCACAGCAGCCUCAGGGACCUCAGCAACUAUGGCCUCCUGCCCAGACUCUGAUAAUAGCUGGGUGCUUGCUGGCUCCGAGGGACACUCUUCCAGACUGAAAGCCCUCAGUCUGGCAGCAUUCUAACAGAGGAGACUGAGGUCAAGGUGAGGAGAUUCGCUGUGGGAAGGAAGGGAGGCGGGGAGGGCUAGCAGCUGCUCACUGCUGCAUCUGCAUUAGGGCACCCUGGAAGGUGAUGUUUGUGGUGUGGAGCCUCCUGGCCCAGGAGACACAGUAGUCCAGGGAGACCUGCAGGAGACCACUGUGGUGACAGGCCUGGGACCAGACACACAGGACCUGGAAGGCCAGAGCCCUCCACAGAGCCUGCCUUCAACCCCCAAAGCAGCUUGGAUCAGGGAGGAGGGCCGCUGCUCCAGCAGUGAGGAUGACACCGACGUGGACAUGGAGGGUCUGCGGAGACGGCGGGGCCGGGAGGCCGGCCCACCUCAGCCCAUGGUGUCCCUGGCUGUGGAGAACCAGGCUGGGGGUGAGGGUGCAGGCGGGGAGCUGGGCAUCUCCCUCAAUAUGUGCCUCCUUGGGGCCCUGGUUCUGCUUGGCCUGGGGGUCCUCCUCUUCUCAGGUGGCCUCUCAGAGUCUGAGACUGGGCCCAUGGAGGAAGUGGAGCGGCAGGUCCUCCUAGACCCCGAGCUGCUGGAUGCUGUGGGGGACAGGCAGGAUGGGCUAAGGGAACAGCUGCAGGCCUCAGUGCCUCCUGACAGUGUCCCCAGCCUGCAAAACAUGGGUCUUCUGCUGGACAAGCUGGCCAAGGAGAACCAGGACAUCCGGCUGCUGCAGGCCCAGCUGC